This 538-nucleotide long non-coding RNA is filed under the name Oryctolagus cuniculus (rabbit). RNAcentral's name for it is "lncRNA (ENSOCUG00000036305.1)". Lineage: Eukaryota; Metazoa; Chordata; Mammalia; Lagomorpha; Leporidae. The record is from RNAcentral.
AGGUGGGCCUGCUGACGUGGAAACAGAGUUGGUGGAAUGUAGCUCAUGAUAGCACUCGCCCCCAGGGUUGAAGUGACACCAACACCACCAUCCGGAGUGAAUCUUUACCUUAGGAAUUCUUUACACUUGGAGACCACAUUAAAGAAGACUCAGGCAAAAGGAAAGGGUGUGGAAGCCUUGAGCCAUCUGGUGUGUAGUCUUGGAGGCAAGUUUGUUGUCCGUCACUGGUCUUGUCUUUAUUGCACACUCUGUCCCACAACGGGAGUGAUACAAUCUUGCGGUCAAGCCCAGGGAGUGAUUUUGAGGGAGAGAAGGCAAGCGACGGACCACUUGGUCUUCUUCCAGGCCAGGAUGCUGGGGCAAGAGUAGCUUGUGAGGCUUUUCCAUUACUCCUUAAUUUCGUGGGAUAGGAAAUUGAGCAGGGACUUGAGAUCCAAGCCUUAGCCAUGCAGAGUAUGGAUUCUGUGGAUUGUUCUUGGUAUGACAGAGGAACCUGGCUUAGUUAGAUGUGGAAACAAAGCUUUUUUUUUUUUUUUGC